GACGAAGGAUGCAAGCGUUAUCCGGAUUCAUUGGGUUUAAAGGGUGCGUAGGCGGCCAUUUAAGUCAGAGGUGAAAGACGGUAGCUCAACUAUCGCAGUGCCUUUGAUACUGAGUGGCUUGAAUGAACUAGAGGUAGGCGGAAUGAGACAAGUAGCGGUGAAAUGCAUAGAUAUGUCUCAGAACACCGAUUGCGAAGGCAGCUUACUAUGGUUUAAUUGACGCUGAGGCACGAAAGCGUGGGGAUCAAACAGG
Molecule: ribosomal RNA, 253 nt
Filed under: uncultured bacterium
Lineage: Bacteria
Description: partial 16S ribosomal RNA
Rfam family: Bacterial small subunit ribosomal RNA
Source: RNAcentral